This 564-nucleotide ribosomal RNA is filed under the name uncultured Alphaproteobacteria bacterium. RNAcentral describes it as "bacterial SSU rRNA". It matches the Rfam family "Bacterial small subunit ribosomal RNA", at positions 82 to 673 of the family's 1533-position model. The record is from RNAcentral. Lineage: Bacteria; Pseudomonadati; Pseudomonadota; Alphaproteobacteria.
GGCUAUUUAUAGAGUCGCGCACGGUAUAGAUACGCGUGGGACUGCCUUUAUCUGCGGGAUAACGGUUGGAAACGACCGCUAAUACCGCAUACGCCCUACGGGGGAAAGGUCCGCCGGAGAAAGAGGGUGCCCGCGUCUGAUUAGCUAGCUUGGUGGGGUAACGGCCUACCAAGGCGACGAUCAGUAGCUGGUCUGAGAGGAUGAUCAGACACACUGGGACUGAGACACGGACCAGACUCCUACGGGAGGCAGCAGUGGGGAAUAUUUGGACAAUGGGGGCAACCCUGAUCCAGCAAUGACGCGUGUGUGAUGAAGGCCCUAGUGGUUGUAAAGCACUUCCACUGGUGAACAUGACUGACGGUAACCAGAGAAGAAGCCCCGGCUAACUUCGUGCCAGCAGCCGCGAGUAACUACGAAGGGGGCGAGCGCUUGCCCGGAACUUACUGGGCGUAACAGGGCCCGUAGGCCGCCUCUCAACUCACGCCGUGAACAUCCCCGCGCUCACCUGCGACCUGCGCCUUACACACCUGGCACCUACAAAGGAAGAGGGUACUGAAUCCACGU